Molecule: microRNA precursor, 167 nt
Filed under: Pelobates cultripes (western spadefoot toad)
Lineage: Eukaryota; Metazoa; Chordata; Amphibia; Anura; Pelobatidae
Source: RNAcentral
GCAGACACAUUCCAGCCAAUCAGCAGCAGACCCUCCCUCCCAGACCCUCCACCUCCUGGACAGCUCACUAAGAAUGCAGCUUCACAAUGAAUGUAAAAUGGAUGCUGUCCAGGAGGUGGGAGGGUCUGGGAGGGAGGGUCUGCUGCUGAUGGGCUGGAAUGUGUCUG